This 684-nucleotide long non-coding RNA is filed under the name Olea europaea subsp. europaea. The record is from RNAcentral. Lineage: Eukaryota; Viridiplantae; Streptophyta; Magnoliopsida; Lamiales; Oleaceae.
AUAAUAUCAUAGAAUCAACAAAAUAACACGAAAAGAGUAUUUCCAUACAUGCAUUACAAAAAUGAUGAAUGAUGAAUUUCCGUUCACAAAUGCCAAAAUAAAUUGUGCAACUACCCAUAUGAUUCAUCAGAAUUUCGAUAUCAAUGCACUCAAAUCACUAUAUGGGCAUAUUUAACAUGUAAAAUUCCUUCACGUUUUCUUGUAAAUACUCGAAAAUAUUCAUUUCUUCUUGACAAAUUUUAAUGGCCUUAUCGGUUUUUUCGAGAACCCUAAAGGAGGGUUGUGUUUUACCUUGAUCAAAUUGCUCAUAACAUCAACACAAUGUCUCACAACUUUCUUGAAUUUCACUCCACUUUCGUUUCGAAAAAUCACCAGAUCUUGUUUCUUCUCUUCUUCCUUGACCUCUAAGUGUUGAGCAAGUGGACAUCUGCCUUCAAUCAGCUCCUUCAAGCUUUUCUGCUGAUGAUGAUCAUCUUUCUUAUGUCCUUCAUAAACCUUUUCUUCUUCCCCUAAACACUUCUUUUCUUCAAAACACGCACUUCCAAAUGGCUCUAUUUUGAGAUUGUUAGGCCUUCUAGUUCUUCUUGACAUAGUUAUAUUGUAGUGGGGUUUACCAGAAUUAUGCUUGGUUUCGUCUGCCAUUUUUGGGAUUGUGUGUGUAAAUGACCAAAGAGUGAGAUAAAU